Molecule: ribosomal RNA, 429 nt
Filed under: Chloroflexota bacterium
Lineage: Bacteria; Bacillati; Chloroflexota
Description: Chloroflexi bacterium partial 16S ribosomal RNA
Rfam family: Bacterial small subunit ribosomal RNA
Source: RNAcentral
UGGGGAAUAUUGCACAAUGGGCGCAAGCCUGAUGCAGCCAUGCCGCGUGUAUGAAGAAGGCCUUCGGGUUGUAAAGUACUUUCAGUCGGGAGGAAGGUGGUAAGGUUAAUAACCUUAUCAAUUGACGUUACCGACAGAAGAAGCACCGGCUAACUCCGUGCCAGCAGCCGCGGUAAUACGGAGGGUGCAAGCGUUAAUCGGAAUUACUGGGCGUAAAGCGCACGCAGGCGGUUUGUUAAGUCAGAUGUGAAAUCCCCGGGCUCAACCUGGGAACUGCAUUCGAAACUGGCAGGCUAGAGUCUUGUAGAGGGGGGUAGAAUUCCAGGUGUAGCGGUGAAAUGCGUAGAGAUCUGGAGGAAUACCGGUGGCGAAGGCGGCCCCCUGGACAAAGACUGACGCUCAGGUGCGAAAGCGUGGGGAGCAAACAGG